This 253-nucleotide ribosomal RNA is filed under the name uncultured bacterium. Its description in RNAcentral is "partial 16S ribosomal RNA". It matches the Rfam family "Bacterial small subunit ribosomal RNA", at positions 524 to 776 of the family's 1533-position model. The record is from RNAcentral.
UACGAAGGGGGCUAGCGUUGUUCGGAAUUACUGGGCGUAAAGCGUGCGCAGGCGGUUAUGUAAGACAGUUGUGAAAUCCCCGGGCUUAACCUGGGAACUGCGUUUGAAACUACAAGGCUAGAGUGUGACAGAGGGGGGUGGAAUUCCACGUGUAGCAGUGAAAUGCGUAGAGAUGUGGAGGAACACCGAUGGCGAAGGCAGCCCCCUGGGUUAACACUGACGCUCAGGCACGAAAGCGUGGGGAGCAAACAGG